UCUGGGAAAUAAAUGAGCAAAAUAAAUAACUAUAUAUCAAAUGAUAACUACUAAAAUAUAACUAUGUGUUGAAUCAUAAAUAAAAGGUUUCUAAAUGCUAGAACUACCAAAAGUCAAGAAAGACAAAAAUAGCAAAUAAAGUGUAAUAAUACAGCUACAACUCAGGUAAAGUAUGCAGAAACAAUUAGGAAACACUGAGAAUUUUAAAUCUGAUUAAGGAGCCAGCAGAGAUUAUCCAGCAUUCAGCUCACCAUUUAAG
This 259-nucleotide long non-coding RNA is filed under the name Homo sapiens (human). RNAcentral's name for it is "non-protein coding lnc-RPS27L-4:1". The record is from RNAcentral. Lineage: Eukaryota; Metazoa; Chordata; Mammalia; Primates; Hominidae.